UACUAGCUGUAGGAAUUUUAUCAAGCUCAAGUGAAUUUCACACUAAACUAGGUGAAACUUUGUCUACAUAGAGCAAAUGAUACAUGAAAGACCAUGAUGUGGUUAUAGGACUUAUAGAAAGUGAAGAAGCAACAUAAAUACAAAAGUAGCUGAAAAGAAGUAGUUUGCAUUAUGGAAUUUUCAGAGCAACCCUGUACAAUUCAUUGUAAUAAUUAGUAACAACAGCAUCAAACAUUAUAAUCUACAAAUCACAAGGGAUGGACUUCACAUUUUAGAGAAGCUAGAGUGAGUCUUGAACAGAAAAAUCAAGUGAUAGCAGAACUGAAGAAAAACUUGAACUUUCUAUGCUUAAAUUUCAAAACUUGAAUGUUAUCCUUUUAUUUAUGAGCUAUGAAUAAAAAUAAGACCUCUGGUCUGGAAUUCAAAAGAGAAAAAGAAUUAGCCAUUGGAUUUUUAUUUUCUGAUUCUGGGAAAAUAUUGCAGAAUGCAGAUUGUUCAAAAAUAUUAUAUUCCAAAUAACUUUUUUUUUGGUGUAAGAAUUAAAUAAAUAAAAGAGAACACCAUAGUCUGGCUUUGAAGAUAAACUUGAAUCUGAACCAACCAUCAACAAAUGCUGUUAUUUGAAGUCUAUGAGCACAGCAUAUAAAAUUAUUAACCUGUGUUACGAGAAUGUUUAUAGCUUCUUGUUCACUAGCUCUGAAAUCUGACAAUGUAUGGUCCAACAACUGGAAACAGAUAAUUUGUUAAAGUGUUAAAGUGUCAGUUUAGUAUCUCAGUCAACAAUAAUAUCAAGACCCCCUUAAGAUGACUUCUCAGAUGCAAACAGGCACCUGGACUCAAGUUUGCCUUGUCCCCAGUUUGCUAUUUUCUCAGCAAAAGCAGGAGGUCAGCUCCUGUUGGCAAAACAUGAUAGGGAAAAAAGGCAGAAAUUCCUAUGCUAUUGCUCCUUCUUUUUUAACUCCUGUGGUCCCUUUGCUGUCAGGAAUGCUAUUUCCUGAGACAGGUGGAUUGACAUAGGGCAGAUUUAAGGCCUGCAGGUUUCAACUGUGCUUCUGAGAUAUUGUUUCCUUAUUUUAUCUUUGAAUGGCCUUGAGCUGAGAACAGAAGUUGCAUGUAUUUUGUGAACAGAUAAGAAAAGGAUAUGCCAUCCCACUAUAUCAGUUACAAUAUAAAAAAGAAAAGAAAAUAAAAGAAAAAAUAUAAUAAGAAAAAAAGAAAAUAAAAGAAAAAAUAUAAUAAGAAAAAAUUUAGUUGCAAUAUGAAAAAAUAAAGAAGAAAAAAGAAAUUUAAAAAUAAAUCAAUACUCUCUAGAAAGUCUAUACUGAUUUUUUUCUGUCUCUAAAACACAAUAUUAUAUGACUGUAGUAUAAAAUUUCAGGGAAACUUCAGAUAUGCUUCAAAACAUAUUUCAAGCAAUAACAAAAACUGCAGUUAAGCACACCAUCACCAUAUGAUAACUGCUUGAGAUCAUGGGAUUUGUCAAGGAAUUUAGCUUGUUAUCUAUAAAAGUACCUUUCUAUAGGUUAUUAAUGCCCUUCAGAAAGACUUAAAUAUGUUGUCACAGUCUAGGAAAUAUAUGUAGAAUAUAAUAAAUGAAUGUAAUAUAUUAGAAUCAUGGAAUCAUUAAGGUUGGAAAAUACCUCCUAGGAUAAUCAAGUCCAGUCACCAACCCAGCACUAUCACCUCAUGCUCUCAGGUGCCAUAAACACAUUUGCUGAUCUCUUCUAGAGGUGCUGAUUCCACUACUUCCCUUAGCAGUCUGUUCCCGUGCUUCACAACUCUUUCCAUGAAAUAAUUUCUCUUAAUGUCUAAUCUAAACCUCCCCUGCUGCAAAUUGGGACCAUUUCCUCAUGUUCUGUCUCUUGUUACCUGGAAGAAGAGUCUGACCCCAACUCCCCCUCCUCCCCGGUCUGGCUCUAACCUUCUUUCAGGUGGCUGUAGAGAGCAAUAAGGUCUCCCCUGAGCCUGUUUUUUUUUCUGACUAAACAACCCCAGCAACUCCUCCUGAGGACAAACUAAAGUUACUGCAGAAGUGGAUGAUACUGGUCAGUAUGCAGAAACCAUGGAAAUUGCAUGGUUUCAUUGCUGGAAAACAUUUUCAGGAAAUCUGGGGAAAUCAUAUUAACCAAGGGAAGCAUGAGAAGAGAUGGACCUGUACUAGGGUAAAAUAUAUCAACCUGAUAAGUGUUCAGCUGGAGAGAUCUACUAGAGCUGUGAUAUGUGUUUAAUUUUAUGCAGAGUGAGUACUUCCUGGAAAGACAAACCAAGACAGUGCAUAUGUCUUUGUGAGACAGAAUCCUGAAUUUAAAGUAUCACAGAGUUAGAACUUCGAAAGCAUCACCACCCAUCAGAUGUCAGUAAAAUACUCAUCAGCAUCUUCUUGAUUUUCUUGAAAUAUGUUCACUGCUCUAGACAGGCACUAAUGAUGGCAAUGGGUAGAAAUAAAUAAAUCUGACAGAGAAAUAUGAUCAUGAAAAUGGCCUGUCAAAAUGGUGUAGAUUGUGAUAAUCACUUUCACUUGAGAGCACUGUCAGUUAAUAGAUCUGUCUCUAUGUAUCUACGUGACCCUAAUUGUUUUACUUUCUUGAGAAAGUGUCUGAAAAAAUGUUUGGAAAAUAGCUGAUGCACAGAUGUAUCUUUAGAGAGCAGUGAAGGACAAGUGAGUUUCAUGUCUGAAUAGUUUAGGUUAUUGCUAGAGGGUGAAAAUUUAGUUCAUACAAGCCAAUGAGGCUUUGCUGGCCUGGCUUUCCAACCAGCUAUUCACAGGUGGCGUGCUAUUGUAACUGCACUCAAAAUAGCACUGGCUUUUUUUAAAACCAUAAUGAUAAUUGAAAGUUUGGCAGUCAAAUACUUCAGAUAAUUCCACUUUCAGCUUGCUUGGUGGAGCUAGUUAAGGGAAGUACAAUACACUAAAUGUCUGGCAACUGCACAGGAGCAGCUUUUGUGGCUGAGGGUAGGCAUUAAAAAGGAAAGCUAUACGUAGCAUGAGCAUGUAUCAUUUAGAAUAUCACUCUUCUUGCUGUGUAGGACAGUGACAUCUGAGAUGAGCUGGGGUGCCUUUGCUAGCAGAAUAUCACUAGUAACAUUUCUUAACAUGGAUCCAUGGUGCUGCUGAGGAAGUACAACACACUUCUAAGAAUCUCUCUGACUUCUUUGGACGCUGUCUCAUGAAGCUAGCUGGUGAGAGCUGCCAGCAGGAGACAUGUCAGAACUGUUAAGAAAAUAAGAAGAGAACUAAAGCUGAAGCUAAUAUGAAAUAAUUCAGUAGCUAGGCAGAUUUUUGCGAUUGCUCUGUUCUUCUCAUCCAUAUGUAAAUGUUAUGAAUGCCAGGCAGCAUUAACUGAGAAGUGACUUAGAACUGGAUGGAAGCCCAACUACCUGAUACCUCCAUGAAGUUAAGACAACAAAGUCGAACCAGGAGAAAAGUUUUUCACACAGAGGGUUCUGGGGCACUGGAACGGGCUCUCCAGGAAGGUGGUCACAACACCAGCCUGACAGACCUCAAUAAGUGUUUGGACAACUCUCUUGGGUACAUGGUGUGACUCUUGGGGAGUCCAGAGCAGAGCCAGGAGCUGGACUCAAUGAUUCUGAUGGGUGUCCUCCAUCUCAGCAUAUUCUACGAUUCUAUGAAACUCAGUCAGGAGAUAAAAUGCUCAACAGAAUGUUUCACAUUAGUUUCAUUGAUAAGGCUCUUUCUUUUAUACUACUUUUUGGAUAUACUGUUAGUGAUUUUUGAUGAACAGGUACACCAUAUAAACACAGAGAUUAUUGAUCAGGACUAGGAGUGC
This is a long non-coding RNA of Passer domesticus (house sparrow), 3788 nucleotides long. RefSeq lists it as uncharacterized. The record is from RefSeq and is a predicted model, not a curated record. Lineage: Eukaryota; Metazoa; Chordata; Aves; Passeriformes; Passeridae. The transcript is spliced from 3 exons.